UGCAGUCGAACGCAGUAGCAAUACUGAGUGGCAAACGGGUGAGUAUAAUGUGGGAAUCUGCCUUUUGGUUUGGAAUAACACGGGGAAACUUGUGCUAAUACCGGAUAAGCCCUUACGGGGAAAGUUUUAACGCCGAAAGAUGAGCCUGCACUUGAUUAGCUAGUUGGUAAGGUAAAAGCUUACCAAGGCAACGAUCAAUAGCUGUUCUUAGAGGAAGACCAGCCACAUUGGGACUGAGACACGGCCCAGACUCCUACGGGAGGCAGCAGUGGGGUAUCUUGCACAAUGGGGGAAACCCUGAUGCAGCGAUGCCGCGUGAGUGAAGAAGGCCUUUGGGUUGUAAAACUCUUUCGUCGGGGAAGAAAAUGACUGUACCCGAAUAAGAAGGUCCGGCUAACUUCGUGCCAGCAGCCGCGGUAAUACGAAGGGACCUAGCGUAGUUCGGAAUUACUGGGCUUAAAGAGCUCGUAGGUGGUUAAAAAAGUUGAUGGUGAAAUCCCAAGGCUCAACCUUGGAACUGCCAUCAAAACUUUUUAGCUAGAGUGUGAUAGAGGUAAGUGGAAUUUCUAGUGUAGAGGUGAAAUUCGUAGAUAUUAGAAAGAACACCAAAUGCGAAGGCAACUUACUGGGUCACUACUGACACUGAGGAGCGAAAGCAUGGGUAGCGAAGAGGAUUAGAUACCCUCGUAGUCCAUGCCGUAAACGAUGUGUGCUAGACGUUGGAAAUAUAUUUUUCAGUGUCGCAGCGAAAGCAUUAAGCACACCGCCUGGGGAGUACGACCGCAAGGUUAAAACUCAAAUGAAUUGACGGGGACCCGCA
RNAcentral lists this ribosomal RNA (820 nucleotides) under uncultured marine bacterium. Its description in RNAcentral is "bacterial SSU rRNA". It matches the Rfam family "Bacterial small subunit ribosomal RNA", at positions 56 to 925 of the family's 1533-position model. The record is from RNAcentral.